GAUGAACGCUGGCGGCGUGCCUAAUACAUGCAAGUCGAGCGAACAGACGAGGAGCUUGCUCCUCUGACGUUAGCGGCGGACGGGUGAGUAACACGUGGAUAACCUACCUAUAAGACUGGGAUAACUUCGGGAAACCGGAGCUAAUACCGGAUAAUAUAUUGAACCGCAUGGUUCAAUAGUGAAAGACGGCUUUGCUGUCACUUAUAGAUGGAUCCGCGCCGCAUUAGCUAGUUGGUAAGGUAACGGCUUACCAAGGCAACGAUGCGUAGCCGACCUGAGAGGGUGAUCGGCCACACUGGAACUGAGACGCGGUCCAGACUCCUACGGGAGGCAGCAGUAGGGAAUCUUCCGCAAUGGGCGAAAGCCUGACGGAGCAACGCCGCGUGAGUGAUGAAGGUCUUCGGAUCGUAAAACUCUGUUAUUAGGGAAGAACAAAUGUGUAAGUAACUAUGCACGUCUUGACGGUACCUAAUCAGAAAGCCACGGCUAACUACGUG
Molecule: ribosomal RNA, 497 nt
Filed under: uncultured bacterium
Lineage: Bacteria
Description: partial 16S ribosomal RNA
Rfam family: Bacterial small subunit ribosomal RNA
Source: RNAcentral